UGUCGAAUGCCAUGCAGAAAGACCCGCGAACAUGUUAUGUAUACUUCUGGAAAAAAUUGAGCGGUGGACCUAGUUGUCGCCUUCUAUUUGUUCCUUCUCAAGUGGGUGCAAGGUCCUUCUGGAAACUUGUUCAUUCACUUGUCAAAUAACGAAACCCGGCGCAAACCGCGCCAAGGAAAAUCUUGGAAAAAAAUGCAUGCCUACACCCAUUCGUGGGCUGUGGCGCUCGCAUAUUUCGUAAAACUAAACGACUCUCGGCAACGGAUAUCUCGGCUCUUGCAUCGAUGAAGAACGUAGCGAAAUGCGAUACUUGGUGUGAAUUGCAGAAUCCCGUGAACCAUCGAGUCUUUGAACGCAAGUUGCGCCUGAAGCCAUUAGGUUGAAGGCACGUCUGCCUGGGCGUCACGCAUCCCGUCACCCACCAGCCUUGUCCUUCCAUGGGCACAUGAAUGCGUGGGUGGAUAUUGGCCUCCCGUGCACGUUCGUGCUUGGUUGGUCUAAAAACGCAGUCCCCGACGACGGACAUCACAACUAGUGGUGGUUGUUUAACUG
Molecule: unclassified non-coding RNA, 552 nt
Filed under: Arctostaphylos uva-ursi
Lineage: Eukaryota; Viridiplantae; Streptophyta; Magnoliopsida; Ericales; Ericaceae
Description: sequence contains 18S rRNA gene, ITS1, 5.8S rRNA gene, ITS2, 28S rRNA gene
Rfam family: 5.8S ribosomal RNA (bases 250-405)
Source: RNAcentral